AUGUUACUUUUACUAAGUUAAGAAAAGUUAGGAAGAAGCUGAAUUCAUUUUUACUCUAAUGGUUAAGAACUAUUGGAUUCCUAAAAAACAACAAUUCAAACUGUUUCAAAACAAUGUCUACCCACUCAAAACACAACACAUAUACUCUUCUUAGUUUUAAGAAAACAUCUUAACUAAGAU
RNAcentral lists this small RNA (180 nucleotides) under Arabidopsis thaliana (thale cress). Its description in RNAcentral is "ATSL056940". The record is from RNAcentral. Lineage: Eukaryota; Viridiplantae; Streptophyta; Magnoliopsida; Brassicales; Brassicaceae.